Molecule: long non-coding RNA, 396 nt
Organism: Drosophila biarmipes
Lineage: Eukaryota; Metazoa; Arthropoda; Insecta; Diptera; Drosophilidae
Exons: 2
Source: RefSeq, a predicted model, not a curated record
GUUGACAUUCUGGUUUUAAAAGAAGCUGACUAUGAAAAUUCUUUUCACUUGCAUACUGUUUUUAAUACCGGCUUGUUUGGAAGGGCAACGAAAUCGAGUCUGCUUAGAGCCGAUAGUUAAGGGCUUUUGUGUUGGUCGUGAAACAAGAUAUGGUUACAACUACAAAGACAACAAGUGCUACCGCUUUAAUUACAGUGGAUGUGGUCAAAACGGAAAUAAUUUUAAGCAGUACAAGGAAUGCUUGAAGAUGUGCAAAAAGUAGUCACUCUAAAUAUUAUUUGAAUAAGUUAAGGUCGAAAUAUAAAGUAAAACUUAACAUAUUUAAAGAAUGUUAUAAUGGGUUUACUUCCUUAGUACGAAGAUGAUAAUUAUAAUGAAUAAUAUUAAAAUACCUAA